This 258-nucleotide ribosomal RNA is filed under the name uncultured bacterium. RNAcentral describes it as "partial small subunit ribosomal RNA". It matches the Rfam family "Bacterial small subunit ribosomal RNA", at positions 26 to 285 of the family's 1533-position model. The record is from RNAcentral.
AGGACGAACGCUGGCGGCGCGCUUAACACAUGCAAGUCGAGCGAGAACCCAGGCUUCGGUCUGGGGGAAAGCGGCGAACGGGUGAGUAACACGUGGGUAAUCUGCCCUUAGCUUCGGGAUAGCUCCGGGAAACCGGAAUUAAUACCGAAUACGACCACGGCCGACAUCAGCUGUGGUGGAAAGUUUUUCGGCUAGGGAUGAGCUCGCGGCCUAUCAGCUUGUUGGUGAGGUAACGGCUCACCAAGGCGACGACGGGUA